This 506-nucleotide ribosomal RNA is filed under the name uncultured bacterium. RNAcentral describes it as "partial 16S ribosomal RNA". It matches the Rfam family "Bacterial small subunit ribosomal RNA", at positions 30 to 523 of the family's 1533-position model. The record is from RNAcentral.
AUUGAACGCUGGCGGCAGGCCUAACACAUGCAAGUCGAACGGUAACAGGAAACAGCUUGCUGUUUCGCUGACGAGUGGCGGACGGGUGAGUAAUGUCUGGGAAACUGCCUGAUGGAGGGGGAUAACUACUGGAAACGGUAGCUAAUACCGCAUAACGUCGCAAGACCAAAGAGGGGGACCUUCGGGCCUCUUGCCAUCGGAUGUGCCCGGUGGGGAUUAGCUAGUAGGUGGGGUAACGGCUGACCUAGGCGACCAUCCCUAGCUGGUCUGGGCGGCCGCCCCACCACCCUGGGACUGAGACCCGGUCCAGACUCCUACGGGAGGCAGCAGUGGGGAAUAUUGCACAAUGGGCGCAAGCCUGAUGCAGCCAUGCCGCGUGUAUGAAGGAGGCCUUCGGGUUGUAAAGUACUUUCAGCGGGGAGGAAGGGAGUACAGUUAAUACCUUUGCUCAUUGACGUUACCCGCAGAAGAAGCACCGGCUAACUCCGUGCCAGCAGCCGCGGUAA